This is a long non-coding RNA of Sarcophilus harrisii (Tasmanian devil), 1594 nucleotides long. RefSeq lists it as uncharacterized. The transcript is spliced from 4 exons. The record is from RefSeq and is a predicted model, not a curated record. NCBI's taxonomy places the organism in Eukaryota, Metazoa, Chordata, Mammalia, Dasyuromorphia, Dasyuridae.
UUUAACGCCCUCUAAGGAGGCUGUUCAGAGACAUCGGCAUGUUGAUGGGAGCCGCACAAAGGUCAAUGAUUUGGAGGCUCCUUCCGACAAUUUGCCAGGAUUUUGGCAUUUUGUAAGCAUCCAUAGGACAGCUCUCUAGCAAGCUGACCUUGACAGCAAACAGGAUAAAUAAACCUUCAAUUUACUCCCCCCUCCCACUCAAGGCAAGACCAGUGGAUCCCUGUGGAACCUUCACCUGUCCGCAUCGUUCAACUGCCUGCAACUUUGAACAGCCGCAUAUCUGCAGCUUCCCAGGUUCAGUGACAAACACCAUCUAACAGAAGAGGUUUCUGAAAAGUCAAAGUCAAUAGUGUUUCCAUUGAAAAUUUAAUGCUGGUUCCAUCUUUGCCCAUCAUUCUUCCCACUGUUGCAUGUGUCCCAAGAGGCACUUCAAGCAAAAGUACUCGUCCAUAACAGGUAAUGACGGGGCAUUUAAUGAUACUGUCCAGAGUGAUCCAACCUAUGGAAAGUAAUGUGCACUCAUGUACCCGAUAAGCAGAGCUGAAUGUACGAGAGACACGCUAUCUAUCGUUCACAGGACUGUCACCAGAUACAAUGUGACAUAUACUCUGCCAUGGGAGGCAUCUGCCUCCCCCUUCUCCCUAAGCAGCAGAAGGAAGGGAGCAUCCUCUGAACGGAGCACCGAAGUGUUAAGGGAAUUCAGUAAAAGCGAUGUUCUGUAUACAGACGACAGUUAAUAAAUGUUGAGGCAUCUUCAAGCACAGACUGGAGGACCACUCACUUCUCAGACUCCAGCCCUCUGCCAUCUAGGCUCCUGACUGUUCCCUGCCUUGACGUGUCAGAAGUGCAGCUACAUAUAGUCAUUUUCCAUGGGAAAGCAAUGAACAGCCUUUCAAGCAGGUUUGUUCUCCAGACUGAUCCCAGCUCAGAAUGAGCUGAAAUGAAAUGAAAACCCAGCUCAGAGAAAGCCUCUAACCCCAACAAGAGCCUGCUUACCUAUGGAAGGCGGUACUUCAACAGGAGGGAUGGAGAAGGGAAAAGAGUGAGCUAUGUUUUUCACAUACCUAAAAUUCAUUUCCCCCCAAAUUCACUAGGCCAGGUGUCACAUCAAAUUUCAUCUGCCAUUGGACUGUGUGACCCAGCAUGAAGCGUCACAGCACAUCAGCCAAAGGAAACUUGACACCAUGUCAUCUUUUUGAAAACUGCUCUGGCUGGGAAUUCGUGAUUAUCACAAACGAGGCAGCUUUCUGACCUUGAUUUGGUAGUGGUUGGGGGUGGGGAAGUACGCUUGUUAGAAGGGAGGUGGCUAACCAGUUAAAGAGGAUAUUUUGUUGUCUGCUGCUGGUGAUUUCCACCUUGGGAACUAACAAAUGGGUAGGUAUUUGAAACUUAAAUAUGUUUAUGGCAAAAGUAUUGACCAUAAGCAACCAGCACCAAAUAGUUCUUCUACUGAUCUGCAGACAACUGUCAUCAUCACAGACAGAUGGAUAGAUGGAUGGAUAGAUAGAUAGACAGACAAUAGAAUCAAAAAUAGAGAUUUGAUAUAGGUAUAAAAGAAAAAUCUGUUUAUAUCUCUCUAUCUCUGUUUCUUCUC